AUCUGUCUCGUUACAUUCAACAGUGAAGGACGGCAAAAGCAGAAUGAGAAGAAGAAGAAGAGGAAGAAGAUGACGAAUCGAUAUAGGGGAAGGAGAAGAGAAUAGAAACAUAUAGGCUUCAGCAUUGUUUAUUUCUUGAGUACUCUUCUUUUCUUCCGUGUUCAGUAAAAUAAUGGCUUUUCCGGACAAGCUAUCAACAGUUUCUGGUAGCAAAUUUCUUCGGCAAAUAAAUAGCCACUGCUACUCACAACGAUCUUUCUUAAUUCACACAGGUGACAAUUAGGGCCGUGAUAUCAUUUUUUUCCCUUUCCUUUGAUGAACAACGGACAUGACAUCAUUGAUCAUUUUUGACUGACCGCAUUAUUACUUUUAUAUGACAAAAAGUACGCCAAACAAUAUAACAAAUGCCCGGGUACUGAAAUCUCUCUCUCUCUCUCUCUCUCUCUCUCUCUCUCUCUCUCUCUCUCUCUUUUAAAUUUUUUAUUUUAUUAUGUCCUUUGACAAAGAAUUUAUAAUUUAUAUAAUAUGUAUAAUUUUUUAUUUUUCUAAAUAAGAUAAAACUUUAGUUUUCUUUUUUCCUUUUUUGUUCUUCUUGUAGCUUAAUUGUUUGAAAAUUCAUUUUAAUUAGCAUUUAUUUUUUAAAAUAAUUAUUUUUAAUAAUACUUACUUCAUAAAAUAAAUGGUAAAAUGUCUGACUACAUAUAAUGAAAACACUUCUAAAUUUAUUUUUGAUAUUUUGAUAUUUUAAUUAAUUUAUUUAAUAUCUAUCUUUUAAAUUCUGAAGUAUUUAUUUGAAGAAGCACUAGUUAGAAACAUAUUUAAAGCUUUUUUUUUUUAAAUCAAAAAACCAUUUUUUAAUUUUUUACCAAACAUAAUCAUCUUUUUUUUUUCUUUUUUUUUUUUCCUUAAAAGCAUUUGUUGGAGCUCUAAAACCACAUCCAUACGUACCCUAAAAAUCAACUAUUUCCUUAAAAGCAUUUGUUGGAGUUAUACCUACUUUUUGUUCUUAGAAAACCAAAAGAAAAAUGAGGAGAUAUUUCUUGGUUUAUUUUUGAAUUUAUGUAGGUAAAAUUUUAGCUAAAGAUUUAUUACGUGCUUUAGCCAACACUGUAUCCCAAGGAUAAUAUUGAUUAUGGCAAAAAGAUUUUGUCAUCAUAUGUUCAUCCAUCCAUUUGUAUAACUGAAAAUUUCAACCGAAGUUGAUACAGUAGCUUCUUGUAGGGCCAUUUCUGUUUACACAUUGUAGAUGCCAUUCAUAGCCUUAAUUUAUUGAAUAACCACUCACUAUAUGUGCAUAUAUGCUAACUGUUUGAAAAAACGUUAGCGAGUUUCUUUUUACUAAAUAUUGUUCCUGUUAUUUAUUAAGAAACUAAUGCCUUACACAAAGGCUUAUUUUAUAACAUUUAUCAAUUUCUUUUUUAAAAAAACAUUUAUCAAAUAAAAUAUACAUGAAUGAUAACUAAUUACUACAAUAUUCAUUUAUAAUAUAAAGAAAAAAAAUGCUUAUCAAAAAUAAAUAUUACUAUAUAAACAAUUUGAAAUGUUAAUUACAUGAUAAACUACCAGCUUGCUAGCUGUUGUCUUUCGCAAUAUUGACGUUUAGUUGAAUUUCUAUCUGUAAGUAGGAAAAAAAAAAAAAAAAAGGGCCAGUUAAAAUCAUAUCAAAAUGAAUGCAAUGUUUAGAGCAAAUAUAGGUGUUAUUCCAAAUGGUACCGUAACUCUAUGACAUUAUUCCCUUUUCAGGUCUCGAUAUUUAAAAUGAUCAAAACAAAAAAAAAAAAAAAAAGAAAAAAAAAUCCAAAACAAAAGAAAAAAGCUCUUGAUAUUUGAAAUUAAAGAGUGAUAACUCUUCAAUUUCCACAUGGAGGCAGCAACAUUAAGCCCCCUAGUUUUGGUCCCUUGUAAAAUAAUUUUACACCUUUAUAUUCAUGGUACCCAACAACCCUUUGGUCGGACCUUUAACUUUUGAUUCAGUAUAGCCCACGCGUGGGAAGGUGUAAUGGUUUUCGGUUCCAACCUAUGUAGCUAUGGAACUCUGAAGUCGGCGUGCUUCUUUUCUCAUGAUAUGACCAUUCGAAUUAAUAUAUAUUUAUUUGAUUGAAAAAAAAGAAAAGAAUUAAUAUAUAUUUAUAUUAUAUAAUUAUGAUAUGGGUAAUGAUACUUUUUUUUUUGUUUUUUUUUGGGUGUGUAAAAACAAUAUAGCUAAUCUUAUAGCGGUUAUAGGUACAACUGGCAAAUUAUGGGUAGGCUGGAGAAAUCGUAAGCAAAUUUUUUGCCUUGUUUCUUUUGUUGCAUUUAGUAUUGUGUCAUAUCAGGGUUUCCCAAGUUAGUACUUCUCGUAGUAGCUUUUUCAUUAACUCUUAAAUUUUAUGAAAUAUUGAAAUUUAAAAAUAUAUUAGGUUUGUAUGAGUUCGUAUAGAUUUUAUUUUAAAUUGUAGCUUUUCAUUAAAUUUAUAUAAAAUGUUAAUAUAUUUAUAAAUUUAAAUCUUUAAAGAAUUUAAAAUGUUUAAAAAAAAUUUAAAAUGUUUAAAAAGAAAGUUGUGAUAGUUUUAUCGUUAAAAUAUCUUUAAAAGAUAAUAAUUAUAUAUAUAGGAUAUGUAAAAUCUCGUUUUCAUCGGCGGAUCUAUCACUCUCUGUCAAUGUUGUUUUCAAUUUAGCCAUUGCAUCCGGUAUGUUACUCUCUACCGAUAUUGUCUCCAAUUUAGCAAUAUUGAUAUUGUUUCCAAUUUAACCACCACUCUUGGUAUGCAAUUUUUUUUUUCAGAGCUUUCAAAGAUGACACAUAUCUUAGGAUUGCUGUAGCUUGAACAUGUUUAACUUUAAAAUUCUUUCGAAUCAUGAAGUCAACUACUCUGAAAAUGCUUUAGCAUUAUGUAAGUGAUUAUUAUUAUAUUUAAAUCAUCUUCUGAUCUAUACCCAGAUGAUGUAUGAUUGGACACCAAAUAAUCUCCCAAUACCAUGCACCUGCCCACAUUAAUCAUCACAAUCUACUCUUUAGGGUUCAUUAUCUUUGCUAACACACUUUCGAUCAAGUACAGACUUUAAUAAUGUUUGUAACACCUUACCUCCAUUAGCAAACCUAUCAUUCUCUAUCGAUAUUGUCCUUAAUUUAGCCAUUACAUUUUGUAUGAGAUUUUUUAUUCAAAACUUCCUAAGAGAUCACCAAUCAUAGGAUUGUUCUCACCUGAGCACUCUUAACAUUAUAAUUCUUUUGAAUUCUAAAGUCAACUGCUUUAAAAAGACCUCGGUAUUAUGAUAGUGACUAUUAUUAUAUUUGAACAAUCUCCUGAACCAUACUUGGACGAUAUGGAAUUGAAUAUCAGAUAGUUUGCUAGUACCUCACACCCUUUCACACUGGUCAUCAUAGGAUAUCCUUAGAAGAGAAUAACUAUUGGUAUUAUUUAUCAAAUCUGUACCAUCUAAUUCAAUUAAACAUAUCUAAAAGAAUCCAAUAAUUGCCACAAAAAAAAAGAAAAAAAAAAAGACCUUACUAUUGGUAUUACCACAUAACUUAAAAAUAGACUGAUUAUGUAUUAUAUAUACACAAAAUUUCUAUAGCAGAGGAUUCCCUAAUUUUUUUUAAAAAAAUUUUUGAUAAUAAUUCCCUAACUUUAUUAAGUGAGAAUGUUUAUGUAGCAAAUGCUAAGAGUUGCAAAAUUUAAUUUAUAAUUUUACAUGUUUAUUAUAAUUCAAAUAAUAGUUGUCAAUUUAUUUAAUACUUAAAUAUAUAAGCUUUUUUUAAUUUUACUAAAUAGGAUUUGGAUUUCCUAAUAAGUGAUUCAUAAUAUAUAAAACCCAACUAGAAAUUAAUAGCAAAUUCAAAAUAAGCACUCAGAGUAUCUCCAAUAAUUUUAUUUGUUGGAGCUUAUGUUGCAAUGGAUUUGGAAAGUGUUGAUACUUGGGUGGCAUAGUGUCUAUUAAUAAAUAAUGCAUAUUUAAAUUUUUUCUCCAAUAGAUCCUACUUAGAAUUUCAAAUGAAAUGGGCUGGCACUUUGAGAGAAGAGAUGAAAGGAGAAAGGAGAGAGAAAAGGUUGUGAAUUGAUGGGGAGAGGGGAGAAAGAAGAAACUAAAUUUAUGACACACAUUAUCCACUAGAUAUUCCAUAAGUAAGGAUCUGUUAAACAAGUUUUAUUAUUUUUAAUGCCACCUUAACUUGACAGAAGUUUUGCAUAACAUUAUUGAAAAUGAUUUUUAUUAAAGGACUAUUUGUUUGUCUCAUGUGACACAACCUUUUUUAACUGGAAAGCACGAUUGAAAAAUGCUCUCAUAUCUACGUUUAAGAAGUCGUAGAUUUGAUACAAUAGGAUGGAAGGUUAUUGUAAAUCAUAAUAUAUAUAUAUAUAGACUAGUCAAUUUGAGGACCAUUUUUUUUUUUGUCUUAUUUUUAUCAUGAUUAUUUGUAACCUAUUUUAAUAACUUAAUUUGAAAUAAAAUUUUUAAAAAUCAAAUCUAACAAAGUAAUAACCAAAAAAUAAGGGAAAAAAAAAACCUAAAUCUUUAACAUUAGGGCAUCUCCAAUGGUAAAUGCCAUUUUGAUAUAGCCAUUUUAAAAUUUGAUAUUAGAAUGAACUCUCUAACUAUAAAUGUAAUGCCCCGUACCAAUAAUACAUAUAUUUUAACAAGUUUGACCAAGUUGACUAAGUUUGAGUAAGUAAAUAAUAUGUAGGUCCAAGUUGACUUUUUCAGUGGUCAAUAUUUUUGUUUGACUGAGGUACCAUUGUGUAGAUCUCAUCGAUAUAAGUUCAAAGACUAGUGGCACGCCAAAUUCCAAGCUACGGAUAAAAAGUUAUGAUUCUGAGAAAUUUUAAGUAUAAGUUUUAUAUCAGUGUCCAAAUCAGUCCCAAGUUUUUAUUUGUUAGUAACCCAAGGCUCUAUAUAAGCCUUAGUAAGCAUGCCAAAUAGGAAACUAAUUUCCAAAAUACCCAUUUCAUCCCCAAAACUCAAGAAAUUCCUCCUCCAAACCCAUGGGUCGGAAUUGCAUUGUUUCGACCCAUUUAACGGCGAGCCGGGUCACUGCUAUUUUUGCCCAUUCCGGCCACCAAGCUGUUACAUGCGCCAGCCAAGGAGGAAGAUCAUGUUGAGGUGAGCUUGACCGUGAAAUUUCACAGCAAACGGCGACCGAAUGCGCCGGGAUCUGGCCAGUGAAGGAGGCGGCAACCAACGAGAUUUCUCAUCGUUUGAGAUAUCCGACAAUGGAAAGUUCGGUCGAAGAUUCAAUCGAGUUUUCUGACCACCGGAGGAACUUUUGGACUGAGGCACUCGAGUUGAGCCUGGAGGCGCUCCUGCAGGGGGGCAAGAGUGAGCAUCUGCAGUACUGUGAUUGGUUAUUAUUUUAAAAUGUUUUGGGUAUAUAGAAUAACAUAUAUGUAUGGUUUGAUAUUUUACGUAUAUACAAAUUGAUUGAA
This is a long non-coding RNA of Ziziphus jujuba (common jujube), 5405 nucleotides long. RefSeq lists it as uncharacterized. The transcript is spliced from 5 exons. Lineage: Eukaryota; Viridiplantae; Streptophyta; Magnoliopsida; Rosales; Rhamnaceae. The record is from RefSeq and is a predicted model, not a curated record.